This 754-nucleotide long non-coding RNA is filed under the name Nicotiana tabacum (common tobacco). Its description in RNAcentral is "long non-coding RNA (NTAB_LNC011753)". The record is from RNAcentral. Lineage: Eukaryota; Viridiplantae; Streptophyta; Magnoliopsida; Solanales; Solanaceae.
AACAAGCAAAUCAGUUUGGUGAGGAAAUGGAAUGCGCGUUUUCUGAUAGAAUGUUGGAAGCAUCGCUCCAGUUUGAAAGAAUUCAGAAGAUGGGGACUGCUCUAUUCCAUGACCAGUGUCCCGACUUGCCUCUUCCAUGGGAAGCUUCUCUGUCUUCUACAAACUCAGAAAGCAUUGCAAACAUAAGUUAUAGUAACAGUUACUAUGGCAUUGAGUCUAUUAUGGAAGACAGUCCGAUGCCAGGUAAAAUUUAUUUACAUAUCAAAGAUCGGAUCUAAAACGUACCUGGUGAAGAGAGUCUCAUUUCAAAUAUUUCUUCGAUAGUGCGAAGACUUUAUACGUAUCCACACCGAGACCGAUCCUUACUAUCAACCCUUUGAUCAAUGAAAUCCGUGAACAACAACAACAACAACAACAACAACAACCCAGUAUAAUCCCAUUAGUGGGGUCUGGGGAGGGUAGUGUGUACGCAGACCUUACCCUACCAUGAAGUAUAGAGGUUGUUUCCAAUAGACCCUCGGCAUCCUCCCCUCCAAGAACUACUCACUUUGCUCUUGGGGUGACUCGAACUCACAACCUUUUGGUUGAAAGUGGAGGUUGCUUAUCAUCAUAGCAACCCCUCUUGUCUAGCAACCCAUCCGUGAACAAAUUGAAUAAAAUUAUGUCCUAAAUUUUUUCUAAAAGCUUUCAGCCAAGAAGAAAAACUAUUUUCUUUGUCAAGAUACUCUCUUGGAUUUGUGCGUCUCACAGAUGC